UACGUAGGGGGCAAGCGUUGUCCGGAUUUAUUGGGCGUAAAGAGCGUGUAGGCGGUUAGGUAGGUCCGUUGUGAAAACUCGAGGCUCAACCUCGAGACGCCGAUGGAAACCAUCUGACUAGAGUCCGGAAGAGGAGAGUGGAAUUCCUGGUGUAGCGGUGAAAUGCGCAGAUAUCAGGAAGAACACCCGUGGCUAAGGCGGCUCUCUAGUACGUGACUGACGCUGAGACGCGAAAGCGUGGGUAGCGAACAGG
RNAcentral lists this ribosomal RNA (253 nucleotides) under uncultured bacterium. RNAcentral's name for it is "partial 16S ribosomal RNA". It matches the Rfam family "Bacterial small subunit ribosomal RNA", at positions 524 to 776 of the family's 1533-position model. The record is from RNAcentral.